RNAcentral lists this ribosomal RNA (356 nucleotides) under uncultured bacterium. Its description in RNAcentral is "bacterial SSU rRNA". It matches the Rfam family "Bacterial small subunit ribosomal RNA", at positions 29 to 412 of the family's 1533-position model. The record is from RNAcentral.
AGCGAACGCUGGCGGCAGGCUUAACACAUGCAAGUCGAGCGGGCACUUCGGUGUCAGCGGCAGACGGGUGAGUAACACGUGGGAACGUGCCCUUCGGUUCGGAAUAACUCAGGGAAACUUGAGCUGAUACCGGAUACGCCCUUUUGGGGAAAGGUUUACUGCCGAAGGAUCGGCCCGCGUCUGAUUAGCUAGUUGGUGGGGUAAUGGCCUACCAAGGCGACGAUCAGUAGCUGGUCNGAGAGGAUGAUCAGCCACACUGGGACUGAGACACGGCCCAGACUCCUACGGGAGGCAGCAGUGGGGAAUAUUGGACAAUGGGCGCAAGCCUGAUCCAGCCAUGCCGCGUGAGUGAUGAA